CAGAGUUCAUGCCCUCACGGGUAGAUCUCCCAUCCUUGAAUAUUAUACCUUAGUUGCUUUUGCAGGCCGGGGCAACCCCCGGGGCUUCGGCAUUGGUGUGCCUGCCAGAGGAAACAAACUCUGUUUUUAGUGAUGUCUGAGUACUAUAUAAUAGUUAAAACUUUC
This 165-nucleotide unclassified non-coding RNA is filed under the name uncultured Naevala. Lineage: Eukaryota; Fungi; Ascomycota; Leotiomycetes; Helotiales; Dermateaceae. The record is from RNAcentral.